RNAcentral lists this long non-coding RNA (1228 nucleotides) under Oreochromis niloticus (Nile tilapia). Its description in RNAcentral is "lncRNA (ENSONIG00000032451.1)". The record is from RNAcentral. Lineage: Eukaryota; Metazoa; Chordata; Actinopteri; Cichliformes; Cichlidae.
UGUUAAUCUCGUGCUUCAGUUUAAAUUUUACUUCCUGUCUGUGAUUGUGUCUGUUUAUCUGUAUCUCAUCUCCACUUCCACAAGUUUUCCCUGUGUGUAUUUAUCUCCUCUUUGUUCCUUUUCAAAUAUUCUGUUGUGUUCUACCAUGUGUUCUCAGCAAGUAAGUUUUUUGUUUCUCUUCACUGGAUUUUUGUAUUCUUGGACUGCUGUCAACCACGUGCAAACAUGUCAUGUUAAAUCCUGCCUGCUUGUUUUGUAGAGUCUGCUUUUGGGUCCCUACAGCUGAUAAAUGCAGUUAUUUGUUCCUAUGAACUGUGAACAUACACACAGGAGAAGACUAAAGAGAAGAAUACACUGUGCUCGCUGUUAGAGUGAAAUUACAUGUUAUCUCAGAAGAGAAUUUUUGGGGGGGUGGUUUUCUAAAGAAAAAAUAAUCUGUGUACGGAGACGAUGCAGACACAAACCUGAAAACUCCAAACAGUCCAAACAUAUGAAUAUCAGUUAUAUGAGACAAUCUAAAGUGUGUUGUGUUGUUUUCCACAGGUGUAGAAUGAUGAAGAUGAAGGUACAGUGACCUAUGAAAACUCUGGAGACCCUUCAGCUUCUGUCAGACUCCACUGAUCAUCAACAUCAACUCAGCAAAGAAACAAGUCGACUUCUGUUGAAGAUCAUCUCAUCACAUUUUAUAUAUCAAAUACUCAGUUCUGGAAUAACUGCCUGUUCUUCCUCCACCGCUCACCAAACCCAGCAGCAGGACCCAUUCACCCUCACCUGCAUUUUCAAAGUCUUUGUUAUAAAACUCUCAACCUGAUUCUAGUGUUAAAGCCUGCUUUAAAGUCCAUUUCUUCUGUUUAACAAUAAUAAUAAUCAAAAAGGAAAUGUAGUUUCUAACCUGCAUUUAAAUCUGAAUGAAACAGUUUGAUCUCACCUUCAUCUAACAUGAACAUAGUUGUAGUUGCAGCAUUUACCUGUCAGAGUCUGAAUGACUGAUAGUUCUUAAAUCAUCCGUCACUCAGUGUUAUGUGAUCUGUAACAACUUGUUUUUGUAAUAACUCAUGAAAAUAUAACUGAAAGUAUUUAUGAAGCAUUUUAUAUUGUGUGUGUACAUCUGUGUGUGGACAGCUCACAUUGUGACACCAAUGCAACUGAUGACAAGAGUUUAACUUCACUGUGUGCUUUAUUGGCCUUUUACCCUCAUUAUUAUGUUUUACAAUAAAAGUAUCACAUG